CCCCCCCAAAUUUCGAUAUUGGAAUCACUUUCCUUCUUCCUCGGGCCAGCCUUUGCUCUGUCCCCUCAGGUCAACUCAAGGUAGACAGUGUGGCGACUGGAGAGGUCGGGGAACAAGCUUUGUUUCAGCUAAGGGAAAAACAAGCGUUCACAGGAGUCCCCGGACACCUCCCACUCGGGAGAUAGUUAACGGGGGUCCUGCCAACCCUUCCCAUCCAACUUCCAUCUGAAAAGGAUUUUCUGCUAAAGUUGGGUCCAUGGCCAUCCAGCACCUAUAAGGCCGGCAGGAGCGUCUGCCCUCUACUCAGUUAAAGCCUGAAGUCGUUUCCUUUCGAUGGCGCUUAGGAGGCCCAAAAGAGGGGCGACAGAACAUGAUGUGACACGGGCCGGGCGCCCCCAGAAGCCCGGGAACAAACGUUUCUACUUUCCAGGUCCACUGGUGUUUGGUGUACCCAUGUGACUAAUUUGUCCAAAGAGAGAUUUACCUCAGAAGACACCUGUAUAAAAGGAAGAGGUCCCUAUGAA
Molecule: long non-coding RNA, 524 nt
Filed under: Pan troglodytes (chimpanzee)
Lineage: Eukaryota; Metazoa; Chordata; Mammalia; Primates; Hominidae
Description: long non-coding RNA NONPTRT014005
Source: RNAcentral